ACUUAUCACUUUCGCUUAGCCACUGAAAUUGCUUCCAACAGCUAGUAUCCAUCGUUUACGGCGUGGACUACCAGGGUAUCUAAUCCUGUUCGCUACCCACGCUUUCGUCCAUCAGCGUCAAUCCAUUAGUAGUAACCUGCCUUCGCAAUUGGUAUUCCAUGUAAUCUCUAAGCAUUUCACCGCUACACUACAUAUUCUAGUUACUUCCUAAUAAUUCAAGUUUAGCAGUAUCAAUGGCCGUUCCACCGUUGAGCGAUGGGCUUUCACCACUGACUUACUAAACCGCCUACGGACCCUUUAAACCCAAUGAUUCCGGAUAACGCUUGGAUCCUCCGUAUUACCGCGGCUGCUGGCACGGAGUUAGCCGAUCCUUAUUCUUACGAUACCGUCAAGCUCCUUCACGAAGGAGUGUUUCUUCUCGUACAAAAGCAGUUUACAAUCCAUAGGACCGUCAUCCUGCACGCGGCAUGGCUGGAUCAGGCUUGCGCCCAUUGUCCAAUAUUCCUCACUGCUGCCUCCCGUAGGAGUCUGGUCCGUGUCUCAGUACCAGUGUGGGGGAUCUCCCUCUCAGGACCCCUACCCAUCGUAGCCUUGGUAAGCCGUUACCUUACCAACUAGCUAAUGGGACGCAUGCUCAUCUUUUACCGUUGUGACUUUAAUAGCUGCUUCAUGCGAAGCUGCUAUGCUAUGAGGUAUUAAUCCAAAUUUCUCUGGGCUAUCCCUCUGUAAAAGGUAGAUUGCAUACGCGUUACGCACCCGUGCGCCGGUCUCUAUAUCCGAAGACAUAUACCCCUCGACUUGCA
This 803-nucleotide ribosomal RNA is filed under the name Flavobacterium sp. B225. RNAcentral describes it as "partial 16S ribosomal RNA". Lineage: Bacteria; Pseudomonadati; Bacteroidota; Flavobacteriia; Flavobacteriales; Flavobacteriaceae. The record is from RNAcentral.